ACCUUGAUCCUUUUAACGCAGGCGUCCCAUAAAUCAUCUGUGCUUAUCAGAGCCCCUGUUGACCAUCUGCUGUUGAACUUCAGGAAGCCAACAGGAGCUGGGCUGCCAAUCAAAGGGCUGUCCCUGAUGGCAUAGUGGUCUGGCGGCCCACCCCCUGCCUGCCUCUCCAUCACCAAGCUCCAGGAACACUGCCUCCUUGCCAUUUCCUGAAUGAACCUGGGUCUUCUUUGAUGUCCCUUGAGGACAGCUCCUUCUCGUGCAGCAGGAGAGAUCCCCUCUCCCCAACCCUUCCUUGGAGACUGUCCUUGGCACCAGGCCCAAUGACCUCUCCUCCCCAGGCCCUUCUAGCACCUUGCCUGCCUGACUGCCCACCCCUCACCUCACUGGUCUUAUCUUAAUGAAAGUGAAAAGUGAAAAUGAAGUCACUCAGUCGUGUCCGACUCUUUGCGACCCCAUGGACUGUAGCCUACCAGGCUCCUCCGUCCAUGGGAUUCUCCAGGCAAGAAUCCUGGAGUGGGUUGCCAUUUCCUUCUCCAGGGGACCUUCCCGACCUAGGGAUUGAACCCAGGUGUCCCGCAUUGUAGGCAGACGCUUUACC
Bos taurus (domestic cattle) is the source of this 598-nucleotide long non-coding RNA. Lineage: Eukaryota; Metazoa; Chordata; Mammalia; Artiodactyla; Bovidae. The record is from Ensembl.